Molecule: unclassified non-coding RNA, 294 nt
Filed under: plant metagenome
Description: partial contains small subunit ribosomal RNA, internal transcribed spacer 1, and 5.8S ribosomal RNA
Rfam family: Eukaryotic small subunit ribosomal RNA (bases 1-54)
Source: RNAcentral
GCAAGUAAAAGUCGUAACAAGGUUUCCGUAGGUGAACCUGCGGAAGGAUCAUUAAUGAGUUGUCAUGGGGUUCGAUGCUGGCAGCCAGUUUUUGGAUGCAUGUGCUUGCCCUAACAAUCAUCUUCUUCCAAACACCUGUGCACAUUUUUGAGGGAGUCUUGAGUUGGUUGCCGCUCUUGGGUGAUUUUCUCACAUUCCCUUAAAUCAUUAUACGCUAUUAACAAUGUUGAACGUGCUCUGUGCCGCAAGGCCAUUAAUAUAAUACAACUUUUAACAACGGAUCUCUUGGCUCUC